Vidua chalybeata is the source of this 1176-nucleotide long non-coding RNA. RefSeq lists it as uncharacterized. The transcript is spliced from 2 exons. The record is from RefSeq and is a predicted model, not a curated record. Lineage: Eukaryota; Metazoa; Chordata; Aves; Passeriformes; Viduidae.
GGGGCUGGCGCUGGGUGGGCCCGGCAGCCCCGGGGGCAGCGUGCGGCUUGCCGGAGCUGAGGGCGUGGUGCCGAGAGGUGCCGCUGCUCCGGAGCUGCGGGAGUUCCCCGCGGCCUCCCGCCGACCAGCGGCACUGGGAAGCGGCAGCACGGAAAGCAGAUCCCUACCGCUGUCUCUAAGGAAAACGGGGCCAAGGGAUCACCCCGAGUGACCGCAUGCAUUGCAAAGUGCUUCGGGCUAGUUCCUCAUUAUGCUGCAGUUGUCUUCGCAGAGGCUCGUUCUGGCGCUGUCGGCAGUGCUCCUUCGGCUCGUCGGUGCCUUCUGAAUUCUCAUCUCGGCCCGCAAAAUGGUUGGGCAAGAGCUCGGUCCCGUCUUGGAAAUUUGCAUAAUUGUUUUUCCUACCUGGAGCAGUUGGAGGCAGUGUUAAAGUGCAAGAUACCGUGCAUGUCGCAUCAAUGGAGUCGGUACUGCAGGAUCACAGCAAGGCACACGCUUGAGAUAUGGGUCACUUCAAGGCCUUUACAGGGAAAAGAGCAUGGCACAAACGUAUGAUACACUUACUUAUUUUGAGAGCAGCUCCAACACCAACAACAAUAAUACACAAAUAUUUUUGUGAGGUUUUGUAAAGCUGAUCUAGCACAAAGUAAAAUUUAGCUAACAAUCCUCAAUAUUUUUAGUUUUAAUAAUUUAUUCUAGCACUAGUUUGUUAACUACCCUGUUAUCAGGGUAGCUAACAUGGCAGUAGGUUGUAUUGAAUACAGAUGUGAAAUGUUGUGUUGGGCCAUUAGAAAGGGAAUCAAUUUGCUCAGCAACACAGCAGACAUUUUCUAAAUGCCUUGACUCUAGUGGAAUAGAGGAGUGGAUAGGGUAGUGUUUCUAUCUCUACUCAUUGUGAAAACAAUUUUAUGGAUUGUACACUUCUCACAAUUGCUCUUGGCUUCCUAUUUAAAUUUUAACAUUUGAAAAUAUUGUUCUACAUUGUUUGACUGAUACAUUAUUGCACAAUACAAAGUGGUAAAAUAUGAGUCUAGGAAAAUGCAACGAAAACUAACAAGAUUUUUACUUCCAGACUUAAGUCUUGAUGAAAACUACAGGUUAUCUUAGCAUCUUGCAGAAAAUUCCACUUCAGACUUUUAAAAAGUGUAACAAAAUUAAAGACACAAUAUUUUAUUUUAA